RNAcentral lists this long non-coding RNA (2756 nucleotides) under Gossypium barbadense (sea-island cotton). RNAcentral's name for it is "long non-coding RNA (GBAR_LNC014176)". Lineage: Eukaryota; Viridiplantae; Streptophyta; Magnoliopsida; Malvales; Malvaceae. The record is from RNAcentral.
AGAAUUUAAUUUUUAUUUCUGAGUGCAUAACAACACUAAGGUUUGCUUAAUUUUUCUUUUAUUGAGUAUUGUGUUCUUUUCAAGCUUUCAUUAUGAUUCGCAACACUAUGAUUGGGAAGUUGAGAAGGGAUCAAGAGGUUCGAAAUGUUCGAGAUCAACAACGUGACACUAUUCUAGACAUGACCAACAAAAAUUUGGAAUGUUAAGUACCAAAAUUGAGUGUUGGAAUCGUAAUUGGGAAAGCGAAAGCGGAUCGUAAAGUUUGUCAAAGUCGCAGAUUUGACUUAGGGCUUUAAAUGUCGGAAAGAAACUUGGAUUUUGACACAACCUGAAACGAAAUUGAAUCCAAGUAAGAUAAAAUAAUUAAAAUAAAUAACUAAAAUAAAAUAAUAAAUCAAAGAUUAAGGAAUCGAAUAAAGAAGAUAAAUGGAAAGAUAGAACGUGGCAUGUAGAAGUCCUAAGAAGCCUUGGAAACACGAAGAAUCCACAACCCCCUUCAAGCGACUCUAAUUUCCCCUUCAAGAUAGAAACUUUGGCAAGAAAAAAGUUUGAAGAUGAUCCCCACAAUCUAGAAAGAUUGUUAAAACUCUUUUAAAAGAAACUCAAGAUAAAUUCUUGAAAAGAAAAACCUAGAGAGAACUUAUUAACUCAAAAGAGAAAUAGAAUAAUAAUGAAUUGUCUAAAUAAACUCUUAAGUAUAUUAGAACUCUAAUUUAAUCUAAACAAGAAGUAGCUUUAAACUAAACUUUUUUAUUAACAUAAAACUCCUAAAUAACUUAAAAUACUUAAUAAUUAUAAAAAAUUCAGAAUAAAAUAAUAAUAAAAUAAUAAGAGAUGAUAAAUACAAUAUUGGGCUCAUAUAUAAUAAAAAUUAAGUCUAGAACCCAAACCAAUAUGAUUUAAACUCGAAUUAAAAUCCCGAAACUCGUAAUUCUUGUUAUAAUCACGUUCAGAAAUUCUGCUUGCGCAGUAUUCAUUAAAAGAAUCAUAACUUGAGCUCCCAAACUCAAAAUUGAGUUAUUCAAAAUGAGUUUUGAAGCUAAGAGAUAGAUCUUCAAACGCCAUGAGACAUCUCAACCCAGAAAUGCCAAGAUCCCAUCCAAAAAUUCAUCGCAAGUUUGCUAAUUUCCCAUGUAACACCCCUUACCCAUAUUCGACACCGGAAUAGGGUACGAGGUAUUACCAGAACACGUACACUUGUAAACGUAUUGAACCGAGUUAUAAAAUUCUAUUAAUUAUUAAAAAUUUCAAAUUUUUAACAUGCUUUUAUAAUUCUUCACAAUAUAAAUAAUACAACAUUUCCUGCCAACCACAAUCGAGCUUCCGAUAAUCAUUUCACUGCAUCUAAUAAUUGUACAUAUUACCAAUAAUAAUUCAAUUCCAAUAAUAAAACACAUAUCUAUAUAAUAUUCAUCACCAAAUAACAUUCACUUUAAUUAAAAUUAUACAGAAUAUAGUUCAUACGAACUUACCAGGCUAAAUUGUAGAAAUACCAAAAUUUAGGGACAUUUUGGUAAUUUUCUAUUUUCUCGAAUUUCCACCCAAUCUUGAUCUAAAUUAAUAUUUCAUUAAAUUUACUAAUUUAAAUAAUAAAACAAUUCAUUUCAUGCAAUUUGGUCACUUUUUGACAUUUUUACAAAUUUACCCUUAAAGUUUCACAUUUGUUCAAUUUAGUCUCUGAACCUAAAACAUGUAAAUUGGUCAUUUUUAAUGAAAACUCAUGCUAGUUGAAUAAUCAUAUAUUUUCCUCCUCCUCCUCUCCAUUCCACAUCCUUAAUAUAUAUAACAUGCUUAUAUGUAACAUUAUCUAUAAUUUCACAUUUAUUUAUAUUCAUUCAAAGCUGUCCACUUGAGUCAUAGUCACUAAAUUGUUUAUAUAUUGAGCUACAUAACUCCAAAUUGAUAUCCGUUAAUUUUAUAUGAAACUAGACUCACAUAUAUUCUUACCAUAAAAUUUUCAAAAUUUUUUGUUUAGCAAAUAAGUACAGUUUAUUCUUUAAAGUCAUCCAUGUUCUUCUGCCUAACAGUUCCGACCCUUCUUUACUAAAAAUUAAUUAUCUCCUCGUACAGAAUUUGAAUGAUGUUACCAUUUGUUUCUAUUGAAAAUAACCUAAUUAAGGAUUUAAACAUAUAAAUUUAAGACUCUAAUUAUUUUUAUACAAUUUUUUAUGAUUUUCCAAAGUCAGAACAGGGGAACCCAAAAUCAUUCUGACCUUAUCUCACAAAACUUAUUAUAUCUCAUAAUUUAAAACUCCAUUGCUUACACUGUUUAUUCUAUGGGAAACUAGACUCAAUAAGGUUUAAUUUCAUAUUUUUUCAUCUUUUAAUUCAAUUUAUACGAUUUUUGGUAAAUUUUCAAAGUCAGACUACUGCUGCUGUCUCAAAACUAUUUUAGUGUAAAAUGUUGAUAACUAAAUUUAUAACACUUUCCUUUCCUUUCUCUUCAAUAUUUUCCAUCACUUUCUCUUAUUUCCCUUUACUAACAUAUCAAGAACAUAUAACCUUAUAUACUAAAACCCUACAUUAACAUCAUUCUCAUACUUUUUCAAUAAUAUCAAACUCAAAAAUAUAUUGAAAUCUUGAUGUUCUUACCUUGCUCAAUUGAUUUCAAUUUUUAACUUCAUUUUCUCUCUCCUCCAGCCUCUAUUUCUUGAAUCUAACUUGAUAUUCUAGCUCCCCAUAGUCUCCUUGUUAUCUUUCUCCCUUGAUGGCUAUAGAAAUUCUUUUGAUUUCUAGGUGGAAAUGGUAGAUUUUUU